Molecule: transfer RNA, 72 nt
Filed under: Ovis aries (sheep)
Lineage: Eukaryota; Metazoa; Chordata; Mammalia; Artiodactyla; Bovidae
Rfam family: tRNA
About the family: Transfer RNA (tRNA) molecules are approximately 80 nucleotides in length. Their secondary structure includes four short double-helical elements and three loops (D, anti-codon, and T loops).
Source: Rfam by way of RNAcentral
UCCCUUGUGGCUCAGAUGGUAAAGCGUCUGCCUACAAUGUAGGAGACCUGGGUUCAAUCCCUGGGUUGGGAA